GAUGAACGCUGGCGGCGUGCCUAAUACAUGCAAGUAGAACGCUGAAGGAGGAGCUUGCUCUUCUGGAUGAGUUGCGAACGGGUGAGUAACGCGUAGGUAAUCUGCCUGGUAGCGGGGGAUAACUAUUGGAAACGAUAGCUAAUACCGCAUGACAACAGUUAUUGCAUGAUAACUGUUUAAAAGGGGCAACUGCUCCACUACCAGGUGGACCUGCGUUGUAUUAGCUAGUUGGUGAGGUAACGGCUCACCAAGGCGACGAUACAUAGCCGACCUGAGAGGGUGAUCGGCCACACUGGGACUGAGACACGGCCCAGACUCCUACGGGAGGCAGCAGUAGGGAAUCUUCGGCAAUGGAUGGAAGUCUGACCGAGCAACGCCGCGUGAGUGAAGAAGGUUGUCGGAUCGUAAAGCUCUGUUGUAAGAGAAGAACGAGUGUGAGAGUGGAAAGUUCACACUGUGACGGUAUCUUACCAGAAAGGGACGGCUAACUACGUG
Molecule: ribosomal RNA, 495 nt
Filed under: uncultured bacterium
Lineage: Bacteria
Description: partial 16S ribosomal RNA
Rfam family: Bacterial small subunit ribosomal RNA
Source: RNAcentral